GUGUCUGUAGCUCAGUGGAUGAGAGCACCAGGCCGCGGACCUGGAGGUCGUUCGUUCGAUUCGGACCAGACACA
This 74-nucleotide transfer RNA is filed under the name Patescibacteria group bacterium. RNAcentral's name for it is "tRNA-Arg". It matches the Rfam family "tRNA". From Rfam's summary of the family: Transfer RNA (tRNA) molecules are approximately 80 nucleotides in length. Their secondary structure includes four short double-helical elements and three loops (D, anti-codon, and T loops). The record is from RNAcentral.